Long non-coding RNA from Ictalurus punctatus (channel catfish), 533 nucleotides. NCBI's taxonomy places the organism in Eukaryota, Metazoa, Chordata, Actinopteri, Siluriformes, Ictaluridae. The record is from Ensembl.
GUGUGCAUUGCUGUAAUAUAUAGCGUGCAGUAUGCAGUGAAGUGUGUAGUACGCAGUAUGUAAUAUAUAGUGUGCAGUGUAUAGUGUGCAGUAUGUAAUAUAGUGUGCAGUAUAAAGUGUGCAGUGUAUAGUGUGCAGUGUAUAGUGUGCAGUGUAUAGUGUGCAGUGUGCAGUGUAUAGUGUGCAGUGUGCAGUGUAUAGGGUGCAGUGUAUAGUGUGCAGUGUAUAGUGUGCAGUAUGUAAUAUAUAGUGUGCAGUGUAUAGGGUGCAGUGUAUAUAGUGUGUAAUAUAUAGUGUGCAGUGUGUAGUAUAUAGUGUAAUAUAGUGUGCAGUGUGUAAUAUAUAGUGUGCAGUGUGUAAUAUAUAGUGUGCGUUGUGUAAUAUAUAGUGUGCAGUGUGUAGUAUAUAGUGUGCAGUGUGUAGUAUAUAGUGUGCAGUGUGUAGUAUAUAGUGUGCAGUGUGUAGUAUAUAGUGUGUAAUAUAUAGUGUGCAGUGUGUAAUAUAUAGUGUGCAGUGUGUAAUAUAUAGUGUGC